GCGCAAGAAAGCCCUUAAAAAUUCCCAGCGUCUUCAAGUUUUUCCUUCUUUGUGCAUCUCCAACUUCAACUGCACCGCAGAAAGAAGGAAUGGCUAAAAAAUCUUGCCUCGUGGGAAAGUACUGAGAAACACGUAGGAAAUGCCUGCACAGCCGUUGAAGAAUAGUCUGCUUAUUUUACUGGUUUCGUGUAGAUCUCUCUCAUUGCAAAAUGAAAGUUCAUGUCCUUUUCCCAUCAGACGUAAGUUACUUGGAAUGCAGGGUUGGGGUUUGGGACUGCUAUUGGAGCUCAACCAAAGAUUAGUAAGCUUUGUGUUGAUAGACAAAAGUCGCGGCGGCAUCGGCUAUUUUCUUCAAGAGCAACUGAAGUGCACUGGAAUUUUUCAAGUGAGGGUAAAAUCUUUCUCAGUGUGGCCUCUGCGAGUAAAUUUAUAGUCUCGGAGGAGAGAGUUUUUUUGGGGGUAUGUCGACAUGUUGUAGGUUUUUUCCGUUCCAAUCGACGAAAUGGAUGCCGUGUCAUGAGUUUUUGAGGUCUCUGGGCUUGGCGUGUUCAGGGCCGGAGAGUACUGAAGUUCGUCCCCGUAGAGGCCAGAGUGAAUGGUUCAGUACGGACGUCUGGAAGGCGGUGGUUGUAGCCAUUUUAAUCUCAACUGUAUUAAGGGGAGUACUUGCGGAGCCGAGGUUCAUACCAUCGUGGUCCAUGUAUCCAACUUUGGAGGUCGGAGAUCGCAUAAUUGUCGAGAAGGUUUCUUAUUAUUUCAGAAGACCAGAUGUGCAUGAUGUUGUAAUUUUCCGAGCACCAAAGUCUCUGCAGCAGGAAAUAGGAUCCGGUGAAGAGGAGGUUUUUAUCAAAAGAAUAGUUGCCAAGGCUGGAGACUUGGUGGAGGUCUACCAUGGGAAGCUUAUUGUAAAUGGAAUUGCUCAAUCUGAAGACUUUGUAGCAGAGCCAGCUGCAUAUGAUAUGAGUACUACUCAUGUGCCUGAUGGCUGUGUUUUUGUAAUGGGCGAUAACCGCAACAACAGUUGCGACUCUCAUGUUUGGGGACCUCUUCCUGUCAAGAACAUUCUAGGAAGAUAUGUAAUGUGUUAUCUGCGACCAUCACAAUUGGGAUCUAACAUAUAUAGACAUGGUUAGAAAUUUAGAGGCAUGAGAUUUGCAAGGAUGUUCCAAGGCGAGAGCUCUUAUAACAGCAGGGCCCUCUUUCUGUUGAGAAAAUUGUUGGAUAUGUCAUGCAUCAUAUGUGACCUUCAAAUAUUGGCAGGGACACUGGUGGAUAGAAAACCAGAGGUUGGGAGUAUGUAUUGUCAUUGGAUUAUCAAUUCUGAAGUGGGGUAAAGCUUCUUUCAGGGAAAUGCUAAUUGUUGUAAAAUGAGCAACUGCAGACUCACUUCUCAGCACACAUAAUUUUGUUGUGGUGGAUGGAACUGUUGGUUUUGAAGCUGUAGAUGCCACUGAAGUCUAAAGGGAAUGAUAACAAUAUUUGACAGAGAUUGUUUUAGUCCAUUGUGAUGCUAGUAGAUGAUUCAUAAUUAGAUUUAAGUAAGAAAAAAAUUUCAUUCAUCAUAGAAAUGACACAAAUGUUAUUAAUUUUAUUGAUGACAAAGUGUCAUAUCUUACAGACUUCAUGAUCUAGAUCUAGGUUCGGGUUCAAAAUUUCUUUGAUAGUCUUUGAAGAGAAGGAUUUGAAUUUCCGUUUUUAA
RNA transcript from Cryptomeria japonica (Japanese cedar), 1699 nucleotides. It is a transcript of the gene named chloroplast processing peptidase, with no coding region annotated. Lineage: Eukaryota; Viridiplantae; Streptophyta; Pinopsida; Cupressales; Cupressaceae. The transcript has 7 exons. The record is from RefSeq and is a predicted model, not a curated record.